CCGGGCCUGCCGCCCUGCGGGAAAGCCUCGGGCCAGCGCGGGAUUCGGCCCCGCAGAGCUGCCGUCCCGCCUGGGGACCCCAGGAGACCCGAGGGGGCGCGCGGAGGCCUGGGGUGCGGGGGCAGGGCUCGGCUGCUGCGGGGCCUGCCGGCCCGAGGCCUAACCGGCGCCCCCGGCCCGCCGCGCUCCCCCACCCGGCCCGCGCAGGCCGCGCCGCUCGCCCCACUCCAGCUCGGGCCGGAUCCCUGGCCGCCCGCCGUCGCUGCCCGCGGGCGCCCCCGAGGACCCUAGCCCCCAGGCUUCCGCCACCCCGGCGCCGGCCCCACUCACCCUUUCAUUCUCCGCCCUGGGCCUGGCGUGGGCCGGCGAAUCCCCGGCCUCACGUAAGCGCGCUCGCCGCCCGCCCUGCCUGCGCAGCUCAGCCCGCCGCCCUACGGGAGCCCGGGGAUGUGGGCCGGGCCUGGGGCCGCCUCUGCUUACCUUUCAGCUGCUUUUUUUUUUUUCCUCCUUCCCCCCUUUUCCCUCCGCUGGGCUGACAGAUCAGAGUGAGAGGCGCUGGCAAUGGACUAGGAAGCUCGGCUGCAGCUGCUACUGCACCCCCCUGGGCUCCAGCGAGAGCCUUUCUCUGUCAAACAAGAGGGGUGAGGAUCAUAUUUUUAUUUUGGAAACUAAAAAGUGCUCCCAGGGUCGGUGAUUAUUAAGGGGAAAUCCCUGAAUAUACUCUCCAGCCAAGAAGGCAGGGCUGCCGGGGCUGCACAAGAAGAGGCAGCAGCCUCCUACAGCACCACUACAGGCACUGCGAGGACAUAACACCAGAGCAACUCCUCUGCCCUCCGAAACGACAACUUUCCUACCAUCUUGGAGGCAGAGGAAAGGGGGGCCGGGGGAAAAAGUGCACCCGCUCCCGAUAAAGUAGAAAUUUUUACUUCUCAUCUCUGGGAAAAUGUCCACACCUGCCGUCUACACAGGCGCUUAGGGGCAAAAGCAGGGAAGAAACUGUGGGUGCAUGGGAAACGUUUUCAUUUGCUCCAGAGGGAAAAAUGUUUCUGCAUCUUCUGAUGGAAAGAAAUCUUUACAAGGCACAGGUUUUCCGAGCCUCAAGCUGUCUCCCUGGGUAGAAUGCCGUGGCAUCACAGCUCACAGCAACCUCAAACUCCUGGGCUUAAGCGAUUCUCUUGCCUCAGCCUCCCAAGCAGCUGGGACUACAGGUACCACCGCUUUCUUGUGAUUAAAUGGGUAAUGCAUUUGGGCAAGAAUCUCAGACAUGAUUUCCUGUGAGGGAGUACCUGAUGUCUAUAUGUAUUAUUACUGCUUGUAUAGUUUUCUAUUGCUGCCACAACAAAUUAUCACAAAUGUAGCAACUUAAAACAUUUAUUAUUUCAUAUUAGUAUUUCCAUAGGUUAGAUACAGAUUAAUGAGAGUAUUAAUUUCCAUUUGCUGUCCUGACAAAUUGCCUCAAAUUUAGUAGCUUACAACAACAAAAAUAUAUUAUCUCACAAUUCUAGAGAAAAUCCAAAUGGUUUAUAACAGGCUAAAAUUAAGAUGUCAGCAGGGUGGCAUUCCUUCUGGAGGCUUUGGGGGGUAAUCCAAUCCCUUGCUUUUCCCAGCUUCCAAAAGCUACCUGAACUCCUUGGCUUGUCAUCCCUUUCUGUAUCUUUAAAGCCCACAGCAUAGAAUCUUCUAAUCUUCCUCUGACUCUAAUCCUCCUGUGUUGCUUUUAUAAGGAUCCUUCUGAUUACAUUGCCCCCCCCCCCAAAUUCCAGGAUUAUCUCCCAUUUUAAGAUCCUUAGUUAAAUCACAUCUACAAAAUCCCUUUUGCCAUGUAAGAGAACAUAUUCACAGGGUCAAGGGAUAGGACAUGGACAGCUUUGGGAAUGAUUUUUCUGCCUACCUCAUGAAUAUUUGGGCUAAUGAAUAAUCAGUCCACAUAAAUCAGGCAAAAGGAAAAUACCCUUACUAUAACGUUACUUUUUCUUCUUAGCCCAGCAAGUAGCUUUUUAAAAAACUGCAAUAGGCUGAGCUUGGUGGCUCAUGCCUGUAAUCCCAAGUGGCUGGGACUAUAGGGCUGGCCACAAUGCCCGGCUAUUUUUUGGUUGUAGUUGUCGUUGUUUGGCAGGCCCAGCUGGAUUCGAAUGUUGCGACCGCAUAAAUUAUCACGAGAGACACGGAUUGACAAUACACAUUGCAAAAGGUAAGGCUACUCCCACAUGCAGGAUAGCCCCGAGCACUUCUCGCAGAUGCCAGGAGAAUGUCUUGUUCUCAGUAAUUCCUCAGAUGAGUUAUGAUAUUGGUGGCUGUUGUAGUAUGAUGUUUAAUCCUCUAUAUUUGAACCCGCCAGCUGCAGUGUAUUUGGCUGGCACCCUAGCUGCUUGAGCUAAAGGCGCGAAGCCAUAACAUACACUUUUUUUUUCUUAUUGUUGGGGAUUCACUGAGGGUACAAGAAACCAGGUUACACUGAUUGCGUUUGUUAGGUAAAGUCCCUCUUGCAAUCAUGUCUUGCCCCCAAAAGGUGUGGCACACACCAAGGCCCCACCCCCCUCCCUCCUUCCCUCUCUCUGCUCUUCCUUUCCCUACCCCUCCCUCCUUCUUUCUCUCUCUGCUCUCCCCUUCCCUCACCCCUACCAUGUCCUUAAUUGUCCUCACAUCAAAAUUGAGUACAUAGGAUUCAUGCUUCUCCAUUCUUGUGAUGCUUUACAAGAAUAAUGUGGUCCACUUCCAUCCAGGUUAAUACAAAGGAUGUAAAGUCUCCAUUUUUUUUUUUUUGUAGAGACAGAGUUUCACUUUAUUGCCCUCAGUAGAGUGCCGUGGCCUCACACAGCUCACAGCAACCUCCAACUCCUGGGCUUAGGCGAUUCUCCUGCCUCAGCCUCCCGAGUAGCUGGGACUACAGGCGCCUGCCACAACGCCCAGCUAUUUUUUGGUUGCAGUUUGGCUGGGGCUGGGUUUGAACCCACCACCCUCGGUAUAUGGGGCCAGCACCCUGCUCACUGAGCCACAGGCGCCGCCCAAGUCUCCAUUUUUUUAAUGGCUGAAUUGUAUUCCAUGGUAUACAUAUACCACAGCUUGUUAAUCCAUUCCUGGGUUGGUGGGCAUUUAGGCUGUUUCCACAUUUUGGCGAUUGUAAAUUGAGCUGCAAAAAAUAGUCUAGUGCAAGUGUCCUUAUGAUAAAAGGAUUUUUUUUUUUUUUUUUAGAUGCUCAGUAAUGGGAUUGCAGGAUCAAAUGGGAGGUCUAGCUUGAGUACUUUGAGGUUUCUCCAUAACAUAUACUUUUCAAUGUAAGUUAUUUAAAAAUGUUAAGCUAUCAGAAUGUCGUCUUAAAUCAAUGUUGACAGUCUACCUGUAAACAUUCAGUGGUGAGAAACACAAGAACAUUUUAAGUGGAAGAUACUUGGUUUUGAGAUCCUUGUUUUCUUUUGUUUUGUUUUUUUCUUUUUCUUUUUGACAGAAUUCUUUGUUGCCCUCAGUAGAGUGCCAUAGAAUCCUAACUCACAGCAACCUCAAACUCUUAGGCUCAAGCAAUUCUCUUGCCUCAGACUCCCAAGUAGCUGAGAGUACAGGAGUCUGCCACAACACCCAGCUAUCUUUUAGAGACAAGGUUUCGCUGUGGCUCAGGCUGGUCUCGAACCUAUGAGCUCAGACAAUCCACCUGCCUCAGCCUCCCAGAGUACUAGGAUUACAGGCAUGAGCCAUGGCGCCCGGCUAUUCCAAGAUUUUUCCAGAAUGCCUUCUUCACUUAAAGGAACAUGACCAUGAGCUUUUACAGACUUUCUCAUUGGUGACUCCAUCAUUGCUUAGCAUAUCAGGAUUCCAUCAGCCAGGUUAUUCCCUUCUACACAUAUAUUUCUUCUAUUUGGGAGCUCUUCUUCGGUCUUUUAUUCUCUAGCAACAUCUAAAGAAUGUUUAUGCUUAUGAUAACCUUAAUAUUUAGUAUUUUUUUUGCAGUUUUUGGCCAAGGCUGGGUUUGAACCCACCACCUCUGGCAUAUGGGGCUGGCGCCCUACUCCUUUGAGCCACAGGCGCCGCCCUUAAUAUUUAGUAUUAUGACACUAAUAUGUGCCCAUAAUACAGACUGAGCACUAUUCACUUACACCCUAAACAAGGUAUCCUUUAGAGAAUUUCAAGUUGUUCAACACAUACUGCCUAGAGGACAGCCCAAAGAUUCUGGAUCAACUUAGCUGUAUAACACCUCUGUUCCACUUGAACGCAGUGUUCUUUCACCAACAACCCUAUGAAGUCUGCACAUAUUCACUGAAGAGUACUGAGUAAAAUACAAACCUAGGUAUAUGUCCCCUUGAGGUCGGCAUAGUGCUAAGGAAUGAAGAAGGUAGAGAGGAAUAGAAAGUUUGUAUUAAAUUCUAACACUCUGGGCAAGAAUUUACACAAUCUCAUACAACUGGGAGUUUUAUGCAAAGUACAGAACCUCUAUCGUUGACCGCCUUCCUACAUUAACCACCUCCCUUAAGUUGACCUAAUUUUCAUAGACCAGACAUGUACCACAUGUACAUAAUCAGUACAACAGGCCUAGUUCCUAAUGUAGACUACCUCUAUAUGUCGACUGUUUGUUACAGCCCCUUGGGCGGUCAACUUAUACAAGUUCUACUGUAUCUAAAUCAAAGCACACAGUUUCAUGAUGUACCACUAAAGAGGAGAAAAUAAAUAGUUCUGAAAAAGCUACUACAUGUGACAAAUGUUGUACAACUUUUAAAGAUAAAGUAUUAAUGAGCUAUUACAACUCCAAAAAUCUUACCCUGGCCAGGCAAAGUGGCUCACACCUGUAAUCUUAGCACUCUAGGAGGCUGAGAUAGGUAGACUGCUUGAGCUCAGGAGUUGGUGACCACCUAAGAAAGAGCAGGACACUAUCUCUACUAAAAAUAGAAAAAUUAGUCAGGUGUUAUGGCAGGUACUUGUUGUACCAGCAACUUGGGAGGCUAAGGGAAAAGGAGCGCUUCAGUCCAAGAGUUUGCGGUUUUUGUGAGCUAUGAUUAGGCCACAGCACUCAACCCAAGGUGACAGAGCAAGACUGUCUCAAAAAUAAAUAAAUAGAAAUAAAAUUAAAAUCUUAUCCUAUGUUUUAUCAAAAAAUGGCAUCCUACAGCAAGGCUAAGAAUUUAGUGAAAGCAAAAGGAAAUAAGGCUUACAAAACAAAAAAAUUUUGAAAACAGAUUUAAAAGAAAACUUAAUCUACCUUAUGAUAGGUUAACUAUAAAAUUUUUACUUCUUUUUUGUUUUGACAUUUGAAAAUUAUGAAAGCAGGUAAUUUUGUCUUCUACUACUGAAAUACUUUAUUUAACACUAUAGAUGGUGUUAAUAUAAUGAAUACAGAACAUCACUGAGAAUCUUUCCUUUUUUUUUGUAGAGACAGUCUCACUGUACAGCCCUCGGUAGAGUGCCGUGGCGUCACACGGCUCACAGCAACCUCUAACUCUUGGGCUUAUACGAUUCUCUUGCCUCAGCCUCCCGAGUAUCUGGGACUACAGGCGCCCACCACAAUGCCCGGCUAUUUUUUUGUUGCAGUUUAGCCGGGGCUGGGUUUGAACCCGCCACCCUCGGCAUAUGGGGCCGGCGCCCUACUCACUGAGCCACAGGCACCGCCCAUCACUGAGAAUCUUAAUUAUACCUCUUGAGACCUCCCGCAUUCUACGAGUGUGUGUAAAUGCAUAAUCUAUUAUACAAAGAAAAAUAGCCACAUGAAUCACCAUGAUACUAUAAAAGAAAAUUUAAGAGAAAACAAAAAAUGUGUUAACCAUUAAACUUCAAUAUUAUAAUGAUUCUCAGAAGUAACAAUCUAUGUAGAAUCUGUAUUAAUGAAAAGGAAUUACGUGUAGCGCUUAAAAAUAAUGG
This is a long non-coding RNA of Nycticebus coucang (slow loris), 5841 nucleotides long. RefSeq lists it as uncharacterized. The transcript is spliced from 3 exons. The record is from RefSeq and is a predicted model, not a curated record. Lineage: Eukaryota; Metazoa; Chordata; Mammalia; Primates; Lorisidae.